GACGAGAAGCUUGCUUCUCUGAUUUAGCGGCGGACGGGUGAGUAACACGUGGGCAACCUGCCCUACAGAUCGGGAUAACUCAGGGAAACCUGGGCUAAUACCGGAUAAUCCUUCGAAUCACAUGUUUUGAAGUUGAAAGGCGCUUCGGCGUCACUGUAGGAUGGGCCCGCGGUGCAUUAGCUAGUUGGUGGGGUAACGGCCUACCAAGGCAACGAUGCAUAGCCGACCUGAGAGGGUGAUCGGCCACAUUGGGACUGAGACACGGCCCAAACUCCUACGGGAGGCAGCAGUAGGGAAUCUUCCACAAUGGACGAAAGUCUGAUGGAGCAACGCCGCGUGAGUGAUGAAGGUUUUCGGAUCGUAAAACUCUGUUGUAAGGGAAGAACAAGUACGUUAGGAAAUGAACGUACCUUGACGGUACCUUAUUAGAAAGCCACGGCUAACUACGUGCCAGCAGCCG
This 460-nucleotide ribosomal RNA is filed under the name uncultured bacterium. Its description in RNAcentral is "bacterial SSU rRNA". It matches the Rfam family "Bacterial small subunit ribosomal RNA", at positions 70 to 517 of the family's 1533-position model. The record is from RNAcentral.